Molecule: long non-coding RNA, 3507 nt
Filed under: Macaca nemestrina (pig-tailed macaque)
Lineage: Eukaryota; Metazoa; Chordata; Mammalia; Primates; Cercopithecidae
Description: lncRNA (ENSMNEG00000045589.1)
Source: RNAcentral
GCACUGCUCUAGAGAGAAGGCAGAGGCAUGACAGCAUGGGCGGUGCUGACAGCAGAGGGGCUGCUGUUACUGUAGACCACAGAAUGAACACGCAGCUGAAUCUCUCUGCUCUUUUGUCUUGUGUAAAAAUGGUUUGUUAGAAGUCACUCUGGAUAGUCCCCAGUGAAAACCUCCCAGACUGUGGAGGGAGCGUUUGAGAGCACCAAGAGGGCGAUGCGACUCAGUCUACACUUCAGACUAUCUGCUCCGAGACAAAUAGCCUUCUGGAGAACUUGUGGGGACUUCUCAUCCACAGUCCACGUUCUACGUUGUAUCAUCCUUCUUGGCUGUGCAGAGAAGUCUGAGCAAUGCAAAUGCUAUGAUGCUAUGCAAGCCCAGCAGAUGGACACAUAUAUGAAUAGAGUUUGCUUCUGGCCACAUUUUCACCUUUAGGAAUUGUCAGGAUGCAGUUCUCUAUGGCGUCUCUGCAUCUCAGACUACAUUUGUCCAGCAGCUUUAGAAGCUAGUGUCUCCCUUAAGGGCAAAGGGCAGACUUAUCUUGUGAUCAAGAUAAUAAGGAUAGUGUCUCCCGCAGAAACAAAGUUUGGGCAGGUCUGCUAGCAGCCCCACUAAGGUUAGGGGUUUGGCACUCCGUGUUUCUCAGCUGUGAUGCAGACUCCACUGUACGUGGCAAUCACCUGGGCCUACCUUGGGGAUAUAUGGAACUGAUGCAACAAGAAGCUCAUGCUGCCUGUUGUGCUAUGACUAAAAGGCUGUCUAGAUCCAUUCCUCACCCAUGGAAUCUACAGAAGGGUAGGUAGCCAGACCAGAAGCUGCAGUGGCUGCUGCUCCUGAGGGAUUCCUUAACCAUGAGACAACAGGUUGUGGAAGUAUGGACCCACAAUGUCUGUGCAGAAGAGGCUACAACCAAGGGCAGAACAGUGGUCUGGCUUCUGGUACAAACUACAGCACCUAUUAUUUAUCUUGGUAAUUUUCUGAGGGCCUAUGUAGCAACUACUCCUGUUUGCUUGUAGAAGACCUGAGAUCCAGGAAUCAGACACACUCCAAUGUAACUGCUGGUUUCAGUGCUUACUCCUUCCAUGACCCUGAGCAUGGUACUCUCUGAGCCUCAGUUCCCGUGUAUGAAACAGAAAUCAUAAGAGAAUCUCACAAAUUUGUUUAAUGAGAUGAUAUAGUGAAGUGCAGGGCAUUGUGAACUGGCUCAUAGCAUAUACUGAAAAUAUGUUAACCAGUACUUCUUUGCUUCUUGAUUAUAAGAUUUGAACAGCUUUUCAGUCUCCAAAGACCAGAUAAUUUGGUACACAGAAAAAUCUUAAUUGGUAAUCAAACCCAGCCUUAUAAUUUUACUGAUUGAAAAAAGGAACGCAGUGACUUGCCUUCUGCUAAACUGGACACCAAUUUAGUACCGGGCAGGAUUAGCAUGCAGACCUCCUCAGUAUCAGCUUAAUUCCUUCUCUCCUGGAACUUCAAUUCACCCUGUAGUAAUCGACACUGAGUGAAGUGUUGUGUAGAUAGGAAGCAAGGAGAGACAAGAUGGAAUUAAGUUUAAAAACACGUAGAGAAGCUAAGGAUUGCUGUAGGACUACUCUUAAAACUAGACAGACAGAGGCUGGGUGCCGUGGCUCACACCUGUAAUCCUAGCACUUUGGGAAGCCAAGGUGGGCAGAUCACUUGAGGUCAGGAGUUCGAGACCAGCCUCACCGACAUGCAGAAGCCCCUUCUCUACUAAAAACACAAAAAAUAACCAGGCGUGGUGGCAUACACCUGCAGUCCCUGCAACUUGGGAGGCUGAGGCGGGAGAAUCUCUUGAACCUAGGGGGCGGAGGUGCAGUGAGCCGAAAUCGUGCCACUGCACUCCAGACUAGGUGACAGAGACAGACAGAGACUCUGUCUUAAAAUAAAUAAAUAAAUAAAAAUAGACAGGAAGCAAUUUGAAGUAUUAUUGAGAUAAUAUUUCUGAUAGAAAACAAAGGCUUCAAAUUCUAUGGACUGAGAGUAAAAUGGCUUCCUCAGAAAGGCGGUUCUCAUUCUGAGACAAUUUACUUUUGCUAUUACAGGUAAAACUAAGUUUGAAUGUUGCCUACUAAAAUCACAUGACAUGAAAAGUGCCAAUAGGAUAGAAGACAUACACAAAAGCAGAAACAUGUUAUUAAAAGAAGAUAUGCAAACUCAAAAGUAAAAUAGUGUGAACUCAUAAAUGUUGAGGAGAACACAUCUCAAAACCGUCUGUGCCCACAGUUGCAUUGUUGUAGAAAUCAUGAAAUACUUCCUAAGCUAAUGAUUAGGAAAGCCUUAAGCAAGCUAUAAAUCCAUCUAAACAUGUAAAUUAAUAUAAUUAAUAAUGCAAAGUAAUAAGAUUAAUAUAAUAAAUAACAUUACAUAAGCAUUUUCUUAGGCUAGAAUAUGCUCUGGUAAUAACACCUGUUUCUUAGAAGGUAGAUGUAAUAAUGGUUUGCAUUUUUGAGUCAUGAAAAUUCCACUGCAAUUCUUGGCAAUUUUUCAGGGUAGUCCUUCAUGUAGUAAUUCAAUGGUUCUUAUUACUCUGAUCUAGUGCAUCCACCACUUCAAUGUGAGGCAUCCUUGAUCACCAUGACAGGGGAAGACAGCUUGAAGUUUGCAGCCAAUCUGGUAUAUGUUGGCCCCAAAUGAGCAUACUUUGCUUACAUCCACAGCCUAGGGCAACAGCUAACUAGUCAAGAAGAGCAGGAAAUGGGAGAGACAAACUGAGUGCUUGGAGGAUCCCCAUUCUCAUAUAUGAAAUUGUUAAAUUUUUGUCUGUGGAUGAUUUUUUUCUAAGACAGCACCUAACUGUGCAAUGCAUUUGGAAAGAGCUUCGUGUAAAUAUUUCUUAAAAUUUAGAUGAAAAGUGGUGCUUAGUGUGAUAAAGGCUUAAUUACCAACAAAAUUCAAAUCUCUAAAACAUGUCAUUACAUAGAAUUAAUAAGCAAGGUUUUACUCUGUUGUGAAAGUUGGUGUGGUUUUAAAAAUGAGGGCUUAUAAACUGGUUAAAUAAAACAUUCUUCUAUUAAAACACUAUACAAACACCAAGGAUAAUGCAAUGGAGCUGUAUGGGCUGAUAUGGUAAAAGCAAUGUGCAGCAAAAUAUGGGAAGAGUAUCAUUCCAUUUCUGUGCAUGCAUUCAUGUGUACACACAUGCACAGUUGGUCUUCAUUUUCCAGGAUCUCUUGCAGUUAGGUGUGUCCAUGUAACAGAGUUCUAACCAAUAAACUAUGAGCAAAAUAGCUGUAUACUGUUUUACAAUUUCCAGCUUGGUCCAUAAACCCUGCUCUAGCCAUCUUCCACAAGUUACUCUUCUACUUGGGCUUCUAGUCAAUAUGAAAAAGGCUGGGCGGGGCACAGUGGCUCACACCUUUGGGUGAGCACUUUGGGAGGCUGAGGCAAGAGGAUCACGGGGUCAGAAAAUCGAGACCAUCCUGGCUAACACAGUGAAACCCUGUCUCUACUAAAACUACAAAAAUUAGCUGGACACGGUGGCACACGCCUGUG